Molecule: long non-coding RNA, 746 nt
Filed under: Setaria italica (foxtail millet)
Lineage: Eukaryota; Viridiplantae; Streptophyta; Magnoliopsida; Poales; Poaceae
Description: long non-coding RNA (SITA_LNC003824)
Source: RNAcentral
UAGGGCUUCUAGAGGAGGUUGACGGCCCGAGGUCCAAGCCGCUGAGCCGCGCGCGACCCAUGCAAAACACACGGCGCUCCAACGUGUCCAGAGGCCGGUCCGGUUCACGUUCCGCAUGCCUGCAUAGGCACGGCACGGGCUGCCCGGCUGCCCCGCAUGUGUCAUGUGUGCCGUGUGCACGGAAUCCACCUGAAUUUACUUGGGCCGCUGGGUCCUGCUGAUCUGCUGGAUGUAAAAUUCCGGAUUUACUGUUUGUUUCACACGGUCAGCUCCGGAGGCUAGCUGAAUCCUGAACGCAUGCAAGGUAGGGGAGCAGCUAGCUUAUUACUUCCACGAGCUCAUUGCUUGAUUGGUGGGGAGUUACGCGCGUAUGCACACCACGGCCACGGCCACCUUGUGUCGAGUCACCAACUCACCAUCUAUUGGAGUUUAUGUCUCGGUUUCUUAUCCCUUGUAAUACCUAGCUCUUCAGGAUAUUAUCUUUUUUUUGGCAGACACCAAUAGUAGCAAGACAAAGCCCACUCACACGAAAAGGGGUGGCCUUUCGUGGAUCAUCAGCCUCCAAGUCCCACAAAAGCUCCCCCUUUUAUCAAAAGUUCAGAUCGGGUGCCAGUCUGCCGGUCUAGCCCCAAGACAUAGACUACAUGAGCUUCUACCAGAAGCUACUGCACCCAAAUUAGCAGCUUUCACCUAACAGGCUAUAGCUCCAAUUAUAUCCAAUAUACUUCAUUAAGACAACACCAACG